UGGGGAAUUUUGGACAAUGGACGCAAGUCUGAUCCAGCCAUGCCGCGUGCGGGAAGAAGGCCUUCGGGUUGUAAACCGCUUUUGUCAGGGAAGAAACGAGUUUCUCUAAUACAGAGACUUAAUGACGGUACCUGAAGAAUAAGCACCGGCUAACUACGUGCCAGCAGCCGCGGUAAUACGUAGGGUGCAAGCGUUAAUCGGAAUUACUGGGCGUAAAGCGUGCGCAGGCGGUUAUGUAAGACAGAUGUGAAAUCCCCGGGCUCAACCUGGGAACUGCCUUUGUGACUGCAUAGCUAGAGUACAGUAGAGGGGGAUGGAAUUCCGCGUGUAGCAGUGAAAUGCGUAGAUAUGCGGAGGAACACCGAUGGCGAAGGCAAUCCCCUGGACCUGUACUGACGCUCAUGCACGAAAGCGUGGGGAGCAAACA
RNAcentral lists this ribosomal RNA (427 nucleotides) under uncultured bacterium. RNAcentral describes it as "bacterial SSU rRNA". It matches the Rfam family "Bacterial small subunit ribosomal RNA", at positions 355 to 774 of the family's 1533-position model. The record is from RNAcentral.